GCCUGAGUGGCUCAGUGGUAGAGCAUCUGCCUCCCACUCAGAUUGUGAUCCCAGGAUCCUGGGAUCGAGUCCCACAUUAGGCU
RNAcentral lists this transfer RNA (83 nucleotides) under Canis lupus familiaris (dog). It matches the Rfam family "tRNA". From Rfam's summary of the family: Transfer RNA (tRNA) molecules are approximately 80 nucleotides in length. Their secondary structure includes four short double-helical elements and three loops (D, anti-codon, and T loops). Further hydrogen bonds mediate the characteristic L-shaped molecular structure. tRNAs have two regions of fundamental functional importance: the anti-codon, which is responsible for specific mRNA codon recognition, and the 3' end, to which the tRNAs corresponding amino acid is attached (by aminoacyl-tRNA synthetases). tRNAs cope with the degeneracy of the genetic code in two manners: having more than one tRNA (with a specific anti-codon) for a particular amino acid; and 'wobble' base-pairing, i.e. permitting non-standard base-pairing at the 3rd anti-codon position. The record is from Rfam by way of RNAcentral. Lineage: Eukaryota; Metazoa; Chordata; Mammalia; Carnivora; Canidae. RNAcentral also lists the same sequence under 1 other name.